RNAcentral lists this ribosomal RNA (327 nucleotides) under uncultured eukaryote. RNAcentral describes it as "partial 18S ribosomal RNA". It matches the Rfam family "Eukaryotic small subunit ribosomal RNA", at positions 1470 to 1795 of the family's 1831-position model. The record is from RNAcentral.
CCCUUAGAUGUCCUGGGCCGCACGCGCGUUACACUGAUGCAUUCAACGAGCUUAUAACCUUGGCCGAGAGGCCUGGGCAAUCUUGUUAACGUGCAUCGUGAUAGGGAUAGAUUAUUGAAAUUAUUAAUCUUGAACGAGGAAUUCCUAGUAAACGCAGAUCAUCAAUCUGCAUUGAUUACGUCCCUGCCCUUUGUACACACCGCCCGUCGCACCUACCGAUUGGAUGGUCCGGUGAAGCCUCGGGAUUGUGGUUCUUGCCGCUUUAUUGUAGCGUGACCGCGAGAACUUGUCUAAACCUUAUCAUCUAGAGGAAGGUGAAGUCGUAAC